UUUAAGAAAUUAAUAACUCCAUUAAAUUUUAUUAANCUCUUUUGUGGUGGCACAAAAUCGGAAGCCCCGACUGUUUACUAAAAACACAGCUAUCUGCAACGAUGUAAAUCAUAGUAUAGGUAGUGAGGUUUGCCCGAUGCCAUUAAUAUAAGAGAAGUGAUGGGUAACUGUUAAUUAUCGAAAAUCUGGUUAAUAGCGGUCUUAACUAUGAGGAUCCUAAGGUAGCAAAAUAAAUUGGCCAUUAAAUGUGGUCCGGUAUCAAUAAUUUAACGAUGGCUUCACUGUCUCUACAACUUGCUCAGUG
RNAcentral lists this ribosomal RNA (304 nucleotides) under Phlegmacium lilacinoides. Its description in RNAcentral is "LSU rRNA". It matches the Rfam family "Bacterial large subunit ribosomal RNA", at positions 1733 to 2038 of the family's 2925-position model. The record is from RNAcentral. Lineage: Eukaryota; Fungi; Basidiomycota; Agaricomycetes; Agaricales; Cortinariaceae.